UCACGAUAAUAAAUGACUAAUGUAAAAUGUAAAAUUAUAAAGAAAAAAUGCAAAAGAUACGAUCGCGACGAGGUAUAACGCGCGACUACCGCACGACUCGAGAGUGGUCGAGCUCGUGAACGUUCGGUUCGAGCUCGGUCGUAGUCGAAUAGUAACGAAAGCUCGCGACUAUAAUGUCACUUGUUAUUGGAGGAGCUCACUAUUGGAUGGAUAGUUGGACAACUUUGAUCUUACACGUAUCAGGGAUUCUUUGUAAUAACAUUUUAUCUUGAAUUCCAUCUUGAUUUCGUUCUAUGCGAAUUAUAUCGUAAUACCGAUAAGGUAUAUCUUAUCGAAUUUAUUCUACGUUUACAAGAGGAAUAAAUGAAGCAUAAUUCAGGCAUUGUGAGAGACCAUAAUGGGGAUGGCUUUCAAGAGUACCGUCUGCAAUGAGACCGCCGAUUUGAAAUGAUUAUAAAAUGAUCUCGAUGUGGAACGAUAUAGGAAGUUCAUUGUAUCCAAAGCUUUCAUAACAAUUUAUAAAUCUGUCCAGCCGAUCGAAUUAAAACCGUAACCUCCCACGACAUGCUAAUUCGUACUCUAUUUCAUCUAAUUAGUUUUUUUUUUUCUAAUACUAUCGUAACCGAUGAAUUUAAUUAUUUAAUUUCUUAACGAGUAGCUUAUAGAAAUAACGAUCGUUACACCUUUCGACUUUUUUUCCUGAAUAUUAUUACAAUUAUUUCUAUUAAAAGUUUUUCGAUAUUUUUGUAUUCAUUUAUAGUCAGUAAACGAUAAGUUUAUUUUAAUCUUCUCGAAAGACUAUCGCGAACACUUUCGAAGAAAUUUUUUAAACUUUUUUAUUGGUAUAUUUAUAUCACGUCUACUAUUGUUUGCAAUCGAAUUAUAUGUAUUGUAUUACAUUAAUGGAACGAUCCGUGAUGUGACCCAUUUGCAUGGGCUUGGCUCAACUACUCAAGACUGACCGCGUUAAACUGCGUUAUCAAGUGUAACAUCCAUUAGCAUCCGUGCAACGAAUCUUAAAG
Molecule: long non-coding RNA, 1022 nt
Organism: Vespa velutina
Lineage: Eukaryota; Metazoa; Arthropoda; Insecta; Hymenoptera; Vespidae
Exons: 3
Source: RefSeq, a predicted model, not a curated record